RNAcentral lists this ribosomal RNA (348 nucleotides) under uncultured bacterium. RNAcentral's name for it is "bacterial SSU rRNA". It matches the Rfam family "Bacterial small subunit ribosomal RNA", at positions 43 to 375 of the family's 1533-position model. The record is from RNAcentral.
GGCCGCGGGAAUUCGAUUCAGGCCUAACACAUGCAAGUCGAACGGCAGCACGGAGCUUGCUCUGGUGGCGAAAAACGAACGGGUGAGUAAUAUAUCGGAACGUACCCUAGAGUGGGGGAUAACGUAGCGAAAGUUGCGCUAAUACCGCAUACGAUCUGCGGAUGAAAGUGGGGGAUCGCAAGACCUCAUGCUCGUGGAGCGGCCGAUAUCUGAUUAGCUAGUUGGUAGGGUAAAAGCCUACCAAGGCAUCGAUCAGUAGCUGGUCUGAGAGGACGACCAGCCACACUGGAACUGAGACACGGUCCAGACUCCUACGGGAGGCAGCAGUGGGGAAUUUUGGACAAUGGG